This 119-nucleotide ribosomal RNA is filed under the name Pelobates cultripes (western spadefoot toad). The record is from RNAcentral. Lineage: Eukaryota; Metazoa; Chordata; Amphibia; Anura; Pelobatidae.
GCCUACGGCCAUACCACCCUUAACACGCCCGAUCUCGUCUGAUCUCGGAAGCUAAGCAGGGUUGGGCCUGGUUAGUACUUGGAUGGGAGACCGCCUGGGAAUACCAGGUGUUGUAGGCU